ACGUCUGCACCUUUCAGGUGUAGAUCAGUUGACUGUCAUACUUCCAAGAAAAGCUCGAACUACUGUAAAACAUCACGUACCUGUACCGUAAACCGACACAGGUGGGUUGGUAGAGUAUACCAAGGGGCGCGAGAUAACUCUCUCUAAGGAACUCGGCAAAAUGACCCCGUAACUUCGGGAGAAGGGGUGCCAAGUAACUUAAAUUGCUUGGUCGCAGUGACCAGGCCCUGGCGACUGUUUAUCAAAAACACAGGUCUCCGCAAAGUCGUAAGACAACAUAUGGGGGCUGACGCCUGCCCAGUGCCGGAAGGUUAAAGAAGUUGGUUAUUCAUUCGUGGAGAAGCUGACGACUGAAGCCCCGGUGAACGGCGGCCGUAACAAUAACGGUCCUAAGGUAGCGAAAUUCCUUGUCGGGUAAGUUCCGACCCGCACGAAAGGCGUAACGAUCAGGGCACUGUCUCGGAGAGAGACUCGGUGAAAUAGACAUGUCUGUGAAGAUGCGGACUACCUGCACCUGGACAGAAAGACCCUAUGAAGCUUGACUGUAGCUUGGAAUUGGGUUCGGGCUCUUCUUGCGCAGCCUAGGUGGGAGGCGUUGAAGGUUUUCUUUUGGGAAAGCUGGAGCCAUCAGUGAGAGACCACUCUGGAGGAGCUAGAAUUCUAAUGGCGUUCCUUGAAGCAGGACGCUUGACAUUUUCAGGUGGGCAGUUUGACUGGGGCGGUCACCUCCUAAAAGGUAACGGAGGUGUGCAAAGGUUCCCUCAGGCUGGACGGAAAUCAGCCGUAGAGUGUAAAGGCAGAAGGGAGCUUGACUGCAAGACCUACAAGUCGAGCAGGGGCGAAAGCCGGCCUUAGUGAUCCGACGGUUCCAUGUGGAAGGGCCGUCGCUCAACGGAUAAAAGUUACUCUAGGAUAACAGGCUGAUCUUCCCCAAGAGUUCACAUCGACGGGAAGGUUUGGCACCUUGAUGUCGGCUCAUCGCAACCUGGGGCGGUAGUACGUCCCAAGGGUUGGGCUGUUCCCCAUGAAAGCGGUACGUGAGCUGGGUUCAGAACGUCGUGAGACAGUUCGGUCCAUAUCCGGUGUAGGCGUUAGAGCAUUGAGAGGAGCCUUCCAUAGUACGAGAGGACCUGGAAGGACGCACCUCUGGUAUACCAGUUAUCAUGCCAAUGGUAAACGCUGGGUAGCUAUGUGUGGAGUGGAUAACCGCUGAAAGCAUCUAAGUGGGAAGCCCACCUCAAGAUGAGUGCUCUCUAUCAGGUCACAGGAAGACAACCUGUUUGAUAGGCAGAAGGUGUAAGGCCAGUAAUGGUUUCAGCUGAUCUGUACUAAUAGACCGAAUGAUUUU
RNAcentral lists this ribosomal RNA (1348 nucleotides) under metagenome. RNAcentral describes it as "bacterial LSU rRNA". It matches the Rfam family "Bacterial large subunit ribosomal RNA", at positions 1567 to 2925 of the family's 2925-position model. The record is from RNAcentral.